GAUGAAGAACGUAGCGAAAUGCGAUAAGUAAUGUGAAUUGCAGAAUUCAGUGAAUCAUCGAAUCUUUGAACGCACAUUGCGCCCGCCAGUAUUCUGGCGGGCAUGCCUGUUCGAGCGUCAUUUCAACCAUCAAGCCCCCGGCUUGUGUUGGGGACCUGCGGCUGCCGCAGGCCCUGAAAACCAGUGGCGGGCUCGCUAGUCACUCCGAGCGUAGUAGUUACAUCUCGCUCAGGGCGUGCUGCGGGUUCCGGCCGUUAAAAGCCUUAUUUACCCAAGGUUGACCUCAGAUCAGGUAGGAAGACCCGCUGAACUUAAGCAUAUCAAUAAGCGGAGGA
This 335-nucleotide unclassified non-coding RNA is filed under the name soil metagenome. RNAcentral's name for it is "partial contains 5.8S ribosomal RNA, internal transcribed spacer 2, and large subunit ribosomal RNA". The stretch from base 1 to 120 matches the Rfam family "5.8S ribosomal RNA", at positions 35 to 154 of the family's 154-position model. The record is from RNAcentral.